GACGAACGCUGGCGGCGUGCUUAACACAUGCAAGUCGAACGGUAAGGCCCUUCGGGGUACACGAGUGGCGAACGGGUGAGUAACACGUGGGUGAUCUGCCCUGCACUUCGGGAUAAGCCUGGGAAACUGGGUCUAAUACCGGAUAGGACUCCUGGCUUCAUGGUUGGGGGUGGAAAGCUUUUGCGGUGUGGGAUGGGCCCGCGGCCUAUCAGCUUGUUGGUGGGGUAAUGGCCUACCAAGGCGACGACGGGUAGCCGGCCUGAGAGGGUAACCGGUCACACUGGGACUGAGAUACGGCCCAGACUCCUACUGGAGGCAGCAGUGGGGAAUAUUGCACAAUGGGCGCAAGCCUGAUGCAGCGACGCCGCGUGAGGGAUGACGGCCUUCGGGUUGUAAACCUCUUUCAGCUAUGACGAAGCGCAAGUGACGGUAGUAGCAGAAGAAGGACCGGCCAACUACGUGCCAGCCGCCGCAGUAA
This 478-nucleotide ribosomal RNA is filed under the name uncultured bacterium. Its description in RNAcentral is "partial 16S ribosomal RNA". It matches the Rfam family "Bacterial small subunit ribosomal RNA", at positions 28 to 523 of the family's 1533-position model. The record is from RNAcentral.